RNAcentral lists this ribosomal RNA (1997 nucleotides) under Pseudomonas aeruginosa. RNAcentral's name for it is "partial 23S ribosomal RNA". It matches the Rfam family "Bacterial large subunit ribosomal RNA", at positions 948 to 2925 of the family's 2925-position model. Lineage: Bacteria; Pseudomonadati; Pseudomonadota; Gammaproteobacteria; Pseudomonadales; Pseudomonadaceae. The record is from RNAcentral.
UGCAAACUCCGAAUACCCAGAAGUGCCGAGCAUGGGAGACACACGGCGGGUGCUAACGUCCGUCGUGAAAAGGGAAACAACCCAGACCGCCAGCUAAGGUCCCAAAGUUGUGGUUAAGUGGUAAACGAUGUGGGAAGGCUUAGACAGCUAGGAGGUUGGCUUAGAAGCAGCCACCCUUUAAAGAAAGCGUAAUAGCUCACUAGUCGAGUCGGCCUGCGCGGAAGAUGUAACGGGGCUCAAACCACACACCGAAGCUGCGGGUGUCACGUAAGUGACGCGGUAGAGGAGCGUUCUGUAAGCCUGUGAAGGUGAGUUGAGAAGCUUGCUGGAGGUAUCAGAAGUGCGAAUGCUGACAUGAGUAACGACAAUGGGUGUGAAAAACACCCACGCCGAAAGACCAAGGGUUCCUGCGCAACGUUAAUCGACGCAGGGUUAGUCGGUUCCUAAGGCGAGGCUGAAAAGCGUAGUCGAUGGGAAACAGGUUAAUAUUCCUGUACUUCUGGUUACUGCGAUGGAGGGACGGAGAAGGCUAGGCCAGCUUGGCGUUGGUUGUCCAAGUUUAAGGUGGUAGGCUGAAAUCUUAGGUAAAUCCGGGGUUUCAAGGCCGAGAGCUGAUGACGAGUCGUCUUUUAGAUGACGAAGUGGUUGAUGCCAUGCUUCCAAGAAAAGCUUCUAAGCUUCAGGUAACCAGGAACCGUACCCCAAACCGACACAGGUGGUCGGGUAGAGAAUACCAAGGCGCUUGAGAGAACUCGGGUGAAGGAACUAGGCAAAAUGGCACCGUAACUUCGGGAGAAGGUGCGCCGGCUAGGGUGAAGGAUUUACUCCGUAAGCUCUGGCUGGUCGAAGAUACCAGGCCGCUGCGACUGUUUAUUAAAAACACAGCACUCUGCAAACACGAAAGUGGACGUAUAGGGUGUGACGCCUGCCCGGUGCCGGAAGGUUAAUUGAUGGGGUUAGCGCAAGCGAAGCUCUUGAUCGAAGCCCCGGUAAACGGCGGCCGUAACUAUAACGGUCCUAAGGUAGCGAAAUUCCUUGUCGGGUAAGUUCCGACCUGCACGAAUGGCGUAACGAUGGCGGCGCUGUCUCCACCCGAGACUCAGUGAAAUUGAAAUCGCUGUGAAGAUGCAGUGUAUCCGCGGCUAGACGGAAAGACCCCGUGAACCUUUACUGUAGCUUUGCACUGGACUUUGAGCCUGCUUGUGUAGGAUAGGUGGGAGGCUUUGAAGCGUGGACGCCAGUUCGCGUGGAGCCAUCCUUGAAAUACCACCCUGGCAUGCUUGAGGUUCUAACUCUGGUCCGUAAUCCGGAUCGAGGACAGUGUAUGGUGGGCAGUUUGACUGGGGCGGUCUCCUCCUAAAGAGUAACGGAGGAGUACGAAGGUGCGCUCAGACCGGUCGGAAAUCGGUCGUAGAGUAUAAAGGCAAAAGCGCGCUUGACUGCGAGACAGACACGUCGAGCAGGUACGAAAGUAGGUCUUAGUGAUCCGGUGGUUCUGUAUGGAAGGGCCAUCGCUCAACGGAUAAAAGGUACUCCGGGGAUAACAGGCUGAUACCGCCCAAGAGUUCAUAUCGACGGCGGUGUUUGGCACCUCGAUGUCGGCUCAUCACAUCCUGGGGCUGAAGCCGGUCCCAAGGGUAUGGCUGUUCGCCAUUUAAAGUGGUACGCGAGCUGGGUUUAGAACGUCGUGAGACAGUUCGGUCCCUAUCUGCCGUGGACGUUUGAGAUUUGAGAGGGGCUGCUCCUAGUACGAGAGGACCGGAGUGGACGAACCUCUGGUGUUCCGGUUGUCACGCCAGUGGCAUUGCCGGGUAGCUAUGUUCGGAAAAGAUAACCGCUGAAAGCAUCUAAGCGGGAAACUUGCCUCAAGAUGAGAUCUCACUGGGAACUUGAUUCCCCUGAAGGGCCGUCGAAGACUACGACGUUGAUAGGCUGGGUGUGUAAGCGUUGUGAGGCGUUGAGCUAACCAGUACUAAUUGCCCGUGAGGCUUGACCAU